GUAUUUAAAAAAUAGCAUGAAAUUAAAAAAAAAAACUGCUAUCAUAUCAGUAUAGUAAAAAAGUAGCUUAUUCUGAUCAAGAUUGUUUAAAAAGGAUCCUACCACAAACAACAGAACAUACAGGAUUAUUGACAGCUUUUUCCCUGCCUGAAAGUAAGCCUUGUCCAGGCCAUCUCCACUAUCUCCAAAUUCUUAUUGGAGGAGCAGUGUGGGGAGGGGAGAGCAAAAAGAAAAAAUAAGGUGAAAAGAUUUCUAAGAAAUAAAACGUCAACAUACUGCAAAUAUUAGAGAGAUUCCCUAAAAUCUAAAAACAAAUACAUCUGCUAAUGGGUUUAACCAGAUUGAUGGAAAGCUCAAUAUUUUUGAAAUCCACUAGAUUUCCAUACACCAGCAAAAAACAAAUAGAAAAUAUUAAAGGUCAAUAGGCAGAGUAGAAAGCAAAUACUGACAGGAGAAAAAGGGAAAAAUCAUUCAAUCAUGUGAUGUCUUUCAGCAUUCUUCUGAUCAAUUUAUUUUUUGACAGGCAGAGUGGACAGUGAGAGAGAGAGACAGAGAGAAAGGUCUUCCUUUGUUUCCGUUGGUUCACCCUCCAAUGGCCGCUGCAUCUUCUGAUCAAUAUUAAAAAGUAACACAAACGACCCAACAGGAAAAUGAGUCACAAUAUGAAGAAAAUAAAGCCCAGAGGCCGAUGCACAGAACUGUGACUCACUGAAGCAGUUACUGCACCGAGAGCUCCAGCAGGGACCCAUCAGGGAGGACAGGGCCACAGGAGGGACCUGGCGGGUGCAGGAGCAGAGGGGAGAGGCCUCCCGCCUGGGGAGGUGGAGUCCGACCUGCACCCAGGCCUCGCCUCCUGCUGCUCCCACCCAGCACAACCUGAAGUCAGGGGCCCAUUGCCCUGCAGGAUGUUGAUAGGAUGCAUCCGUUGCGAGGUUGUGUGUGCUCACGGCCAUGCACGCUGUCCAAUCAGGCACGACGACGUCCACGCCGCGUCAUCACGCGGGAUCUUGACGUCACAGUCAUCUUACAGUUCUGGGCAGGAGCGAGGUGCUAGGAGAUGGCUCCACUACCCCGAUGCUCCCGAAGUAAGUCGGGCUCCGUGGCCUCCACCUUCAUCACCGGGGGACGCUGGACACCUGGAGCUGAAAACCGCGACGUGAACACAUGCAGUGACUUUAAACUUCCUUUACCAAAACAAGUUAGCACUUGGGGAGAAAAUGCCCCCUAGUAAGCCCUGCAGUGGAGGCCAAGAUGGAAACACCUGCAGAGUCAGCCUGACAUUUCCGUUGGUCCUGUGAUGCACAGGCAGGAAAGUGACUCCACAAAUGCAAGAUACCACCAUGCUGAAUGUUAGGAACUUGGUUCCAUUAAAUGUAACAGGGAGGUCCCUGACUGGAACACAGGCCAUUGCUUACUUCCUCUGGUGUACAUAACCAGGGCCCUGGGUCAGCAGUGGAGAAUAAUUGAGACUUGAAUCAGGCACUCUGAUAUGAGAUGAGGUCAUCAAAUGGUGGGUAAAUCCACUGCACCACAACACUGCCUCAGGCAUCCUUACUCUAACUUGGUAAGAGCUGCUACGAUCUCUUUGUUGCGUUUGCUGAAAUUUCUUUUCCAUUUUUAAUGUAAUUGUAAUCAUCUGCUUUUCAUCCACUUUGCCUGUAUUCACUCAUUUUGUCAUUGUUUCUUCCAAAAAUUAUCCAUUUUUAUGGUAAUAACUAGUUUUUCACAACAGAUGAAUGCCUUUUUAAUUCUUUAUACUUUUCUUUGAAAGUAUAGCUAUCAGCAGUGCAUAUUUGUAAUAUCUUAGUCCGGGUCAACCCUAGUACUCUUAACCUUUUACCAGAUUGCUUAACUUUAAUUGUGAAGACAAACUAUCUCAAAUUUCUAUAAGUCUUCUGGAAACUGUCACAUAUAGUUUCUCAGGCAUUGUUACUCCUACUGUAAUUAUUCACCCUUUCUAGAUAACAUAUUUUUUACUUUUUUGGAUGUUCGUGAACAAUAACAAAGUUCUUUAUCUGCUUUUCAUACCAUUAUUCAUUUCUUUUCACAUCAGUCACAGCAUACAUUAUUACAUGACAUGUACAUGUCUUUUCAUUGCCUUUGCAUCUAAUGCUAUACCAUGUAUAGUUCACUAAGAUCCAAGUAAGCCAAUGGUGAUAAUAUGAGCUGUGGCAAUCUUGCUUAGCCUUUUGCUUGUGGUAUCACAAAAUUGCUCAGAGUUCUGUAAAUUCUGUAUACAAAUUUUCAGAAUGUUUGCCAUGGUAUUCUCCUGUUCCACAUGUCAAUUUACAUUUUCCUGAAUUUUGCCAUUGAUGUGAGAAAUUUUCCAUCAUAUAUUUCUAGAAACUGGUACCUUUCCUAUAAUAUUUUGGGUAAAGUACAGUUAUCUCUUCAUCACUUAAGACACUCAAUUUACAAAUACUUUUAAAUUGUUUGAAAUGGAUUCUUUUUCACCAAAUUCCCUUAUAUUUGGUAUUGAUUUUAUUGGAACUCUUACUGAGUUAUUUACUUUUACCUACAGUGUUAGUGGUAUAUUUUAUAUUGUAAGCAUCCUUUCUGGUUUUGUGAUUGCAGUUAUUGAUAUAUGUGUGUAUAUAUAUAUAUAGGUUUUUUGUUUAAAGAUUUAUUUCAUUUAUUUGAAAGAGUUACAGAAAGACAUAGAGACAGACAGAGAGAGACAGAGACAGAGACAGAGACAGGGACAGAGUAAGAAAUAUCUUUCAUCCACUGGUUCCCACCCCAAAUGGCUGCAAUGCCUGGAGCUCAGCCUAUCCAAAGCCAGUAGCCAGUAGCUUCUGCUAGUUCUCCCAUGUGGGUGCAAGAGCUCAAGGACUUGGGCCAUCCUUCACUGCUUUCCCCAGUCACAUUAACAGCGAGAAAGAUUGGAAGUAGAAAAGGUUGGUCUUGAAUUGGCACAGUAUGGGGUGCCAGCACUGCAGACCAGGGCCUUAACCUGUUGUGCCACAGCGACAGUGCCAGGUAUAUGUUUACUUAAUAUCCUUGUUUAAGUAAAUCCUUGUACUAUGACAUUCUUGCUUGACUUUCUUUCACAGUGAUGUCAUCAGAUCCCUCAAAAUUCUGUAAGUUUUGCUGGUCAUAUUAAUGUAUAGUCUCUCUGAACUCUGUUAGGAUAAACUUAAUCUUACACACUUUAAAAUCACACAUUUUUAAACUAUCUUAAUUUUUAUAACUCCAAAGUUAUCGUUCACUGAAUUUUCUUUGUCAGAAUUGUAGGUAUACUUUGUCAGAAUUUUUCUAGUAGGAAUGAGUUUUAUAUACAUUGAUUUUUACUUCUCACUUUAUGUAAUUACAAUUAAAUAUUUUUCACUAAAUUCCUUUAUUUUUGCAUUUUAUAGAAUUUAGCACAUGUAAACUGAUGUUAGAAAUUCUCUGUAGUCUAUAUAUCUUUAGAUACUUGGAUAAUUCCUUUAAGAUUAUUAUCUAAAGUGGCUUGAUUAAAGAUAUUAGGAUUCUUUUAGUAUUCGUUUUAAAGGUAAUAGAAUAUUUUACACCAAAUUCUCAACUAUGGAUUUCAAUCUCUAUCAAAUAAAAUAUUGUAACAUGAACA
This 3568-nucleotide long non-coding RNA is filed under the name Oryctolagus cuniculus (rabbit). RNAcentral describes it as "lncRNA (ENSOCUG00000034041.1)". Lineage: Eukaryota; Metazoa; Chordata; Mammalia; Lagomorpha; Leporidae. The record is from RNAcentral.